Molecule: long non-coding RNA, 1443 nt
Filed under: Equus caballus (horse)
Lineage: Eukaryota; Metazoa; Chordata; Mammalia; Perissodactyla; Equidae
Description: lncRNA (ENSECAG00000059051.1)
Source: RNAcentral
GACAAACUGAAACUGCAACGCCAGCCUGACCAGGUCUCUGACGCCCAACCUGGAGCUCUGAAGCCGAGAUUCCUGGUGAAAACGUCCUGCAUUGGGCAGCAGUGGCCAGGCCCGAGCAGUGGUCUUACUUGGCCAUUGGCUGAGGAGAGCACGACUCCACUCAAAAGCUGAGGCAGACGUGCAGGAGGCACAGCUGGCCACGCUCGUCGCAGCUGGGCAGUGAGUCCCCCUUGAAGGAGUGCCUGUCUGCUGCGAGCCCGAUAGUUGUCGCUAUUCCAGGCACGGACAGGCUGUUCUCAUGAUAAUGAAGCCUGGAUGCAGGCCAUUGGCCAGGAGCUGUUCCGGAAGGCCCCGGGCGAGCAUGGACAGAGAGCCUGGCUGGGCCUGGGGCGCAGGGCCCACAGAGAGGCCAGGAAGGCAGCACUCAGGCUGGGAUGACCCCUUAGCCUGGAGGAGGAAGUAGGAGCAAGCAGCCUGGGACACCUCCUAAUUUUCUAUGCACAUAAAAUUUCCGCAUGCUCUGAGAAUAAGCUUCAAGGGAGAUAAUAAAAUGAGGCUCCCUGCAAACUUCUACCACUCUAAGUGUAAAAUCGCCUGAUUACCGCAGCCAGCUUCUUGCUGCUCUCCCUGUAAUCCAGUUCUGGCUGCGAUUACACAGCGCUGCGCCUCACGCUGGUGCCAAGCGUCAAACAAACAGAUACCGACGAUUCAGUGUGAUUUGGCGCGUGGGAGGAGUCCCAGGAGCUCAGUCACAAAGGGAAGCCUUCCAUAGGCGGGCAGAGAAAGUAAAUGCAGAGAGUUAAACGUUAAAAUAACAGACACAAAAGUAAACACCUCCCCCCAACACACACACACACACAAAACGGAGUGCUAAAUGUGGUAUUCACUGGCAUUGAAUUUGAAAGAAAAAUAAAAUGCCAAGUAACGUUGGGUUAUGAUGUUAUUUGAACUAAAUCUUUAAUGAAACCUUGAUACAUAGUCCACAGGUGAAUUGAACAUGCACCUAAAGCCAUUUGCUCCCUGAUCCCAGGCUGCUCAGCCAGCAUCAUUCCCAAAAACACAAGCACGUUGGCGCCUCUGACUUCACUCACUCUCUGUGAUGCCUUCUCCUCUUCUCUCUGUCCUGAAAUUUCUUACUCAUUCAACAAUGUUCAGCCCAAAUUUUACCUUUUCUGAGUGUGUGCCACUCAUGUUCUCCCAUGAAAUGAAUUAAUUGCUCGUCUCUGCCUCCAUGGACAUAUACACAUACAGAUGUAGAUAUGGAGACAGACAUAUACAUAUAGAUAUUUAAUUUUAAAUUCUCAAAAAGUUCACUGAUAUACUUUCUGGGUCCAGCAACAUGUUUGAAAAAAUAGUAGUUAAUGAAUAAUUUCAAUUAAGCUGAUUCCAUUGGGGACGGUCACUUGAUCACAUUAAGUAGUACAAAAAAGUAUGAAUGAAAUA